Molecule: ribosomal RNA, 257 nt
Filed under: uncultured bacterium
Lineage: Bacteria
Description: partial 16S ribosomal RNA
Rfam family: Bacterial small subunit ribosomal RNA
Source: RNAcentral
GACAGAGGGUGCAAACGUUGUUCGGAUUUACUGGGCGUAAAGCGCGUGUAGGCGGCUUUGCAAAGUCGGAUGUGAAAGCCCACGGCUCAACCCAGGAAGUGCAUUCGAAACUGCAGAGCUGGAGUCCUGGAGAGGAAGGCGGAAUUCUCGGUGUAGAGGUGAAAUUCGUAGAUAUCGAGAGGAACACCGGUGGCGAAGGCGGCCUUCUGGACUGUUUCUGACACUGAAAAACGAAAGCCAGGGGUAGCAAACGGGGA